This is a long non-coding RNA of Lemur catta (Ring-tailed lemur), 297 nucleotides long. RefSeq lists it as uncharacterized. The transcript has 3 exons. Lineage: Eukaryota; Metazoa; Chordata; Mammalia; Primates; Lemuridae. The record is from RefSeq and is a predicted model, not a curated record.
CUUGCUGCUUCAAACUUGAACUCCGCGCCCAACCUCAUGGUAAAUGUCUGUCCAGACUACAUCUGGGGAGGUUGUGACCACUGGACUCUGCGCCCAACCUCAUGAUCCACAGCUGUUCCUGCUCAGUGGGUGGAGAGCCAGCCCCGCCACUUACGGAGAGGAGAGAAUUUAGGUGCCACUGAUUUCUGCCAGCGGGAGGACAGGAUGUCUACAUCCCAUUGAAGGACAUGCCCAGAUCCUUCCUGGCCACGCGUGCCCCUGGAAGUACAACUCCUGCUACACCUCCCUCCCUCCUGA